Small nucleolar RNA from Carcharodon carcharias (great white shark), 128 nucleotides. RefSeq annotates it as small nucleolar RNA SNORA3/SNORA45 family. Lineage: Eukaryota; Metazoa; Chordata; Chondrichthyes; Lamniformes; Lamnidae. The transcript has a single exon. The record is from RefSeq and is a predicted model, not a curated record.
AACGAGGCUAGAGUCACAUCCUGACAUUCCAGUUGUUUUGGUGUGCUAUAGUUCUCGAAGAGUGAAUACUACAUUUAUUCACUGGCUGGAGUUUCUUGUAGCAGUCAGUUACCAAGUUAGUGACACUG